UUUGGGAGCCAAGUCAUCUCACGCUGACACCCUGAGAUUUUUCUGUUGUAACUGUCUGCCUGGCCUUUGUGGUGAUUGCUAUGAGAAGGUGAUGAGAAAUCAAAGAGAGACUCGGAGCUGGACCGAGGCGGCUGUGGUGAGGGACGUGGCAGGAAUCCUGGAGGAGGAAAAUGAGAACCACUCUCCAUCAAGUCAUUAACCACAGAGCUCUGUCUCCCACCUGGGUUAGCUGAUCUGCUGCAGCUUUACAGAUCUUCCCCAUCUGCCCCCUGCUGCACUAGCCAGGGAACGGCUGCGAAUCCUGGAGACCCCUAAGGACCCCCACCUACAGCUCUGAGAGCCCUCAGUGUCCUUGUCUCCUGGGGGCUCAUGGCUCUCCCCCACCCAUGCCUAGUCUGCAUCCAGCAUCAGAAAACAGAACCUCAUGCAGGUCUGGAGGCAUGGAAAUCAGGAGCUACAUGUCCUCCCCAGGUGGUGCCUGCUCAUCCCAAGGAAACAAGAGAGCAAGAAGGCUCCCUUCUCCCAGAGGGACAUUCUUGCCCCUACCACCAUUUGUCCACACUCCAGCAUCUCAGAAAUGUGAAUUCAGAAGCAAGUUAUGGAGCUUAAGUUACUGCUGCACUUGAUUGGAAUAACUGUUACGUAAAAGCCAACACAGAUGAAUCGCCUGUAGGGAGUUGUCUGACUGCAUGAGUUUUUACACAUCUUUCAGCUAAAUCAAAGAUCCAAAUGCUAAAUCUCACACUCAGGAACAUCAAGUGGAUUUGUGACAGUCCCCGGAGGACUUGGUGUCCAUAAACCAAUGAAUGAAUUACA
Molecule: long non-coding RNA, 816 nt
Organism: Odocoileus virginianus texanus
Lineage: Eukaryota; Metazoa; Chordata; Mammalia; Artiodactyla; Cervidae
Source: RefSeq, a predicted model, not a curated record